Molecule: ribosomal RNA, 427 nt
Filed under: uncultured bacterium
Lineage: Bacteria
Also listed under: 1 other name
Description: partial 16S ribosomal RNA
Rfam family: Bacterial small subunit ribosomal RNA
Source: RNAcentral
UGGGGAAUUUUGGACAAUGGGCGCAAGCCUGAUCCAGCAAUGCCGCGUGAGUGAAGAAGGCCUUCGGGUUGUAAAGCUCUUUUGUCAGGGAAGAAACGGUUGGGGCUAAUAUCUCCGGCUAAUGACGGUACCUGAAGAAUAAGCACCGGCUAACUACGUGCCAGCAGCCGCGGUAAUACGUAGGGUGCAAGCGUUAAUCGGAAUUACUGGGCGUAAAGCGUGCGCAGGCGGUUUUGUAAGUCUGACGUGAAAUCCCCGGGCUCAACCUGGGAAUUGCGUUGGAGACUGCAAGGCUGGAGUCUGGCAGAGGGGGGUAGAAUUCCACGUGUAGCAGUGAAAUGCGUAGAGAUGUGGAGGAACACCGAUGGCGAAGGCAGCCCCCUGGGUCAAGACUGACGCUCAUGCACGAAAGCGUGGGGAGCAAACA